Cicer arietinum (chickpea) is the source of this 479-nucleotide long non-coding RNA. RefSeq lists it as uncharacterized. NCBI's taxonomy places the organism in Eukaryota, Viridiplantae, Streptophyta, Magnoliopsida, Fabales, Fabaceae. The record is from RefSeq and is a predicted model, not a curated record.
UUUUAAUUAAAAAAUUAAAAGUAUUUUUGAAUUAUGAAGACUAAUUUCGUAAAUAAGAUAAAAUAGAUGAUUAAAGCUGUAAUUACACGUAUUUCUUUCUAUUGCAAAUAAUCCUUCAUCCAUCAUUAUCAUCACAAAAGCACAUGAUCGAAAUCACUAUUGUUUGUUGUCGGAGCAGUCGUGUUGGAAUUCUCAGACACUCAUAAGGCUAAGAUUGUGGAAAGGAGCUCACUUUAUACCACUUAUGGUCAGAUAGGAAAGGAGCUCAAAGCAUUUUGAAUUUUCAUCAAGGAUACAAAUUAAAUAUAAAUGAUUGCAAUCUUGGUUGAAGAGGCUGGUUGAAGGUGCUGCACAGACUGGAGAUCUUUUGUUGUUGUAACAUUUGAUCUUUUACUUUGAGAUUGUAAUCAAUGUAAUAUAUCAAUUCUUACACUGUAAUUGUGUUCAUGGAUCUAAAAGUAUCUUUUUUUUUUAUACAA